RNAcentral lists this transfer RNA (76 nucleotides) under Campylobacterota bacterium. Its description in RNAcentral is "Epsilonproteobacteria bacterium tRNA-Phe". It matches the Rfam family "tRNA". From Rfam's summary of the family: Transfer RNA (tRNA) molecules are approximately 80 nucleotides in length. Their secondary structure includes four short double-helical elements and three loops (D, anti-codon, and T loops). Lineage: Bacteria; Pseudomonadati; Campylobacterota. The record is from RNAcentral. RNAcentral also lists the same sequence under 1 other name.
GGCUCCAUAGCUCAGUUGGUAGAGCAGUAGACUGAAAAUCUGCGUGUCGGCGGUUCGAUUCCGUCUGGCGCCACCA